GACGAACGCUGGCGGCGUGCUUAACACAUGCAAGUCGUACGGUAAGGCCCUUUCGGGGGUACACGAGUGGCGAACGGGUGAGUAACACGUGAGUAACCUGCCCACAACUUUGUGAUAACUCUAUGAAACUGGUUCUAAUACUUGCUAUGUUCUCCUUCUGCAUGGUUGGGGUUGGAAAGCUCCUGCGGUUGUGGAUGGACUCGCGGCCUAUCAGCUUGUUGGUGGGGUAGUGGCCUACCAAGGCGGCGACGGGUAGCCGGCCUGAGAGGGUGACCGGCCAAAUUGGGACUGAGAGACGGCCCAGAAUCCUACGGGAGGCAGCAGUGGGGAAUAUUGCAAAAUGGGCGCAAGCCUGAUGCAGCAACGCCGCGUGCGGGAUGACGGCCUUCGGGUUGUAAACCGCUUUCAGCAGGGAAGAAGCUUUUUGUGACGGUACCUGCAGAAGAAGCACCGGCUAACUACGUG
This 465-nucleotide ribosomal RNA is filed under the name uncultured bacterium. RNAcentral describes it as "partial 16S ribosomal RNA". It matches the Rfam family "Bacterial small subunit ribosomal RNA", at positions 28 to 507 of the family's 1533-position model. The record is from RNAcentral.